GCAAGUCGAACGGAAGUCUUCGGACUUUAGUGGCGGACGGGUGAGUAACGCGUGAGAAUCUGGCUUUAGGUCGGGGACAACAGUUGGAAACGACUGCUAAUACCGGAUAUGCCGAGAGGUGAAAGAAUUAAUUGCCUGAAGAAGAGCUCGCGUCUGAUUAGCUAGUUGGUGGGGUAAGAGCUUACCAAGGCGACGAUCAGUAGCUGGUCUGAGAGGACGAUCAGCCACACUGGGACUGAGACACGGCCCAGACUCCUACGGGAGGCAGCAGUGGGGAAUUUUCCGCAGUGGGCGAAAGCCUGACGGAGCAAUACCGCGUGAGGGAGGAAGGCUCUUGGGUUGUAAACCUCUUUUCUUAGGGAAGAAAAAAAUGACGGUACCUAAGGAAUCAGCAUCGGCUAACUCCGUGCCAGCAGCCGCGGUAAUACGGAGGAUGCAAGCGUUAUCCGGAAUGAUUGGGCGUAAAGCGUCCGCAGGUGGCAUUUCAAGUCUGCGGUCAAAGGUCGAGGCUCAACCUCGAACAGGCCGUGGAAACUGAAAAGCUAGAGUGUGGUAGGGGCAGAGGGAAUUCCCAGUGUAGCGGUGAAAUGCGUAGAGAUUGGGAAGAACACCGGUGGCGAAAGCGCUCUGCUAGGCCAAGACUGACACU
RNAcentral lists this ribosomal RNA (649 nucleotides) under uncultured cyanobacterium. Its description in RNAcentral is "bacterial SSU rRNA". It matches the Rfam family "Bacterial small subunit ribosomal RNA", at positions 57 to 747 of the family's 1533-position model. Lineage: Bacteria; Bacillati; Cyanobacteriota. The record is from RNAcentral.